ACAAAUCCUGAAUUGUUGUUUGUGCAUGUGGGUGGGUGUUUAUGUGUGUGGGUCAUUUGAAGGAAAGGGAUUCAUUCUCAUUCAUUUGAUUUGAGUCUCCAUGUGCAUAUGCCACUCAUUAUUCACAAACAAUACACUCGUUCCAUGUGCAUUCACUUGUGCAUGACAACAUUUCUACGAAUCAUCUGAUUGUCACAUAAUCUAAUUUAUUAUUCAUAA
This 219-nucleotide unclassified non-coding RNA is filed under the name uncultured fungus. RNAcentral describes it as "sequence contains ITS1, 5.8S rRNA gene". The record is from RNAcentral. Lineage: Eukaryota; Fungi.